This 314-nucleotide unclassified non-coding RNA is filed under the name fungal sp. RNAcentral describes it as "partial internal transcribed spacer region". The record is from RNAcentral. Lineage: Eukaryota; Fungi.
CUUGGUCAGCAAUCUCUGCACUCCGUCGCGAAAGUUGGAAGGAGGAGAGACUUCUGGCGGGAACAUGCCCUGGGCUGCGUAUCGCUCGCUGUAUCGUGGCUUGUUUUCCCUAGGCAAUCAGUGGGUGACAGUGUCAUUGAUUGUCGAAGGAAUCGCUUAACGAUCACUGGAGGUCGAUCACCGACCGGUGGAUCAAGUCACUGGGCUUCCUACUCGCCCCCUUUUAACCCCACUUUCUAUUGCCGCUCCGCGCUAACACGCCGGGCAAUCAAAAACGUAACUUACAACUGUUAACAAUGGAUAUCUUGGUUCUC